UACGUAGGGUGCAAGCGUUAAUCGGAAUUACUGGGCGUAAAGCGUGCGCAGGCGGUUAUGUAAGUCAGGCGUGAAAUCCCCGGGCUUAACCUGGGAACUGCAUUUGUGACUGCAUAGCUAGAGUACGGUAGAGGGGGGUGGAAUUCCGCGUGUAGCAGUGAAAUGCGUAGAUAUGCGGAGGAACACCGAUGGCGAAGGCAAUCCCCUGGACCUGUACUGACGCUCAUGCACGAAAGCGUGGGGAGCAAACAGG
This 253-nucleotide ribosomal RNA is filed under the name uncultured bacterium. Its description in RNAcentral is "partial 16S ribosomal RNA". It matches the Rfam family "Bacterial small subunit ribosomal RNA", at positions 524 to 776 of the family's 1533-position model. The record is from RNAcentral.